RNAcentral lists this transfer RNA (72 nucleotides) under bacterium. RNAcentral's name for it is "tRNA-Thr". It matches the Rfam family "tRNA". From Rfam's summary of the family: Transfer RNA (tRNA) molecules are approximately 80 nucleotides in length. The record is from RNAcentral. RNAcentral also lists the same sequence under 1 other name.
GCCGACGUAGCUCAACGGUAGAGCACCUCACUUGUAAUGAGGCUGUUGGGGGUUCGAUUCCUCUCGUCGGCU